CCCUUAGAUGUUCUGGGCCGCACGCGCGCUACACUGAUGCAUUCAACGAGUCUAAAACCUGGUCUGAUAGGGCUGGGUAAUCUUUUGAAAGUGCAUCGUGAUUGGGAUAGAUGAUUGCAAUUCUUCAUCUUCAACGAGGAAUGCCUAGUAAACGCAAGUAAUCAGCUUGCAUUGAUUACGUCCCUGCCCUUUGUACACACCGCCCGUCGCUCCUACCGAUUGAAUGAUCCGAUGAAUACCAUGGAUUGAGAGUACGAAUGGGUUCGCUCAUUUCUGCUGCUCGAGAAGUGGAGUAAAUCUUAUCAUUUAGAGGAAGGAGAAGUCGUAACA
Molecule: ribosomal RNA, 330 nt
Filed under: uncultured eukaryote
Lineage: Eukaryota
Description: partial 18S ribosomal RNA
Rfam family: Eukaryotic small subunit ribosomal RNA
Source: RNAcentral